UCAUCCCUCCAUCGUCGGCUGCAUCCCUCACCCACGUCGCUGUUGCAGGAUCUUCAUCCGUCAUCCUGAGCAAUUGGGGCGGCGAUGCGGGCGAGCUUCACGAUAGUGGGGAGGACCAGGCCGCGGUGAAGGCAGGUCAUGCGCUCCUCACGCUCCACGAACGGAACCUGCGCACGGAGGCGGUAGCGCGGGGUGGCAGCCGGCAAUGAGGCGGCCGCGCUACGUGACGAGCUACGGGUCCCCCUUUGUGAUGUUUUGGCAUCGCUCCUUCAUCGCACAUCCUCAGGCGAUGGCGGUGGUGUCGCUGAUGGCGGCGAGGACAGCAUGUGGCAGCUCCCGAAGCAUGAACACGACCGCACCUCGGGCCUGCCGUCUGCCAAGAUAUGGCUCUGGCCGAUUGACAAUGGAGGUUUGGGAUCCUUCCUCUCAGCACCCACUCCUGGAAGAAUCAGCGGUGCGCCACGCCGAUUGAACCCCGUCGAGAUCACUCGCCAAGAUUGCUAUUCUGAAGUUUAUUGUAAAGAAAGUGAAGAGUGAGACAGGAUCCGUUUAUUUUCAACCGGUUUAUUUUCAACCGGUUUAUUUCCAUCAAAUUACCCCCACCCC
Long non-coding RNA from Triticum aestivum (bread wheat), 606 nucleotides. RefSeq lists it as uncharacterized. The record is from RefSeq and is a predicted model, not a curated record. NCBI's taxonomy places the organism in Eukaryota, Viridiplantae, Streptophyta, Magnoliopsida, Poales, Poaceae. The transcript has 3 exons.